AUGUGGGAGGCAGUCCAGGACAGCAACGUCGACCACCUAGAGGAUCGACGGGCACUGGACGCCCUCAUCGCCGCAGUCCCGCCCGAGAUGCAGUUCUCGCUUUCCAACAAGCGGACUGCCAAGGAGGCUUGGGACGCCAUCGCCGCAGCACGCAUCGGCAGCGACCGUGCUCGCAAGUCCACCCUGCAGGCACUUCGUAAGGAGUGGGAGAACCUGGGCUUCAAGCCAGGUGAGGACGUUGAUGACUUUGCUCUCCGUCUCAACACUCUGCUGCAGAAGAUGGUGAAGUUUGGCGAUGCCACCUACACCGAGGAGAGAGCUGUCGAGAAGCUUUUUCGGUGCAUUCCCGAGAAGUACAAGCAGAUGGCUCGCUCGAUCGAGUCGUUGCUGGACCUCUCCACGAUGACGAUCGAGGAGGCGAUAGGUCGACUCAAGGUCGUCGACACCGACGAGCCACAGCCCCCCUCGGGGCCCGUCACCACCGGCGGGAAGCUGCUCCUAACUCGGGAGCAGUGGGAUCCCAGCCUUGGUGACAAGAAGAAGGGGGAGCCUUCCUCCUCGACGGGCGGCCGCAAGCGUGGCAAGCAGCGUAAGGCGCGAAGAGGCCCCCCGGGCAGGGGACAAGGACGUGCCGAAGGUGACGCCCGCGGAGGCGCCAAGGACGGCGCCGCUGGCAAGCCCAGGCCGGCACAAGACAACAGUUGCCACAACUGUGACCGGUUUGGCCAUUGGGCCAAUGAGUGUCGGCAACCACGACAAGGCUAG
Molecule: ribosomal RNA, 765 nt
Filed under: Triticum aestivum (bread wheat)
Lineage: Eukaryota; Viridiplantae; Streptophyta; Magnoliopsida; Poales; Poaceae
Description: partial small subunit ribosomal RNA
Source: RNAcentral